GACGAACGCUGGCGGCGUGCCUAAUACAUGCAAGUAGAACGCUGAAGGAGGAGCUUGCUUCUCUGGAUGAGUUGCGAACGGGUGAGUAACGCGUAGGUAACCUGCCUGGUAGCGGGGGAUAACUAUUGGAAACGAUAGCUAAUACCGCAUAAUAGCAGUUAUUGCAUGAUAACUGUUUGAAAGGUGCAAUUGCACCACUACCAGAUGGACCUGCGUUGUAUUAGCUAGUUGGUGGGGUAACGGCUCACCAAGGCGACGAUACAUAGCCGACCUGAGAGGGUGAUCGGCCACACUGGGACUGAGACACGGCCCAGACUCCUACGGGAGGCAGCAGUAGGGAAUCUUCGGCAAUGGACGGAAGUCUGACCGAGCAACGCCGCGUGAGUGAAGAAGGUUUUCGGAUCGUAAAGCUCUGUUGUAAGAGAAGAACGAGUGUGAGAGUGGAAAGUUCAC
RNAcentral lists this ribosomal RNA (453 nucleotides) under Streptococcus mitis. Its description in RNAcentral is "bacterial SSU rRNA". It matches the Rfam family "Bacterial small subunit ribosomal RNA", at positions 28 to 467 of the family's 1533-position model. The record is from RNAcentral. Lineage: Bacteria; Bacillati; Bacillota; Bacilli; Lactobacillales; Streptococcaceae.